UGAAUUUGAAAUUGAAUUACCAAACCCUAACAGCCUCACACCAGCUGCUGGCGCCGCUGCCCACCCCCAAUCUCUCAUCUCUCUCUCUCGGCUGGCCGGUGACACGCACUCCGGCACUCGACGCGACGGCGGCUCGGCCUUUCCGGCGAAGGUCCGGACAGCUUAACAGCAGCAGUAGUGCAACACGCACGGUUCAGUGCGAUUCUGCGCUGCACGAGCAGCACGACCUCCAUCCACCAUUCCUGCCGUUUCUUCUCGCCACCAGACACCUUUCUACCGUCGCCCACUGUCAUCUCCGUUCACUCUGCUCAUCUGGAUCGAGCUUGCUCCUCCGACUGCCAUCUCCCAGCCCACCGCGACAGCAGCAGCGACGCCGCGACGGCUCUGCCCUCCUCGACGCGACAGUAGCAGCAGUGCAGCAGGUUUUAUUUUCUAAAUUUUGGUUGUGGUUUCUGUUUUUUGUUGGAUUCAUGUCCAAAUAGAUAGAAAUCUUAGUUUCUGGUUUUUUUUGCUGCUAAUUCUGGUUGUUUGUUGGUUUUGGUUGUUUGUUUAAAAUUGCUGCAUUAUUGUUUUGCUGCUAAUUCUGCACUAAAUCUUAGUCUCAUGUUAGUGAUUGUUGUUGUUGUCUGCUGAACUUCAUUGAACUUCAUUGAACUUCAUUAGUCUCAUGUUUUGAAGUUAGUCUCAUGUUUUGAAGUUAGUCUCAUGUUGUUGUUGUUAGUCUCAUGUUUUGAAGUUAGCAUUAUUUGUUGCUGUCUGCUGAACUUCAUUGAACUUCAUUGCUGUUGUUGGUUGUGUGCAGUCCUUAACUUCAUUUAGAACAUAUAAAUGUGUCAAUUGCUCUAAAUCAAUCUAAUAAGGUUAACUCUUUCAGUUGAUAAUGGCAUUCUCCCCUCCUGAAGUCUCCUCAACAAUGCCCAAUGCAAUAAUAUCUCAAAACUCCAUUGACAAUCAACAUUCAACGGAUGAUCAUAUUGUUACAAAUACUGACAUUCAAGGUGGAAGUGGAGAUGGUGAAACAGGUGGAAGUGCAGAUGGUGAAACAGGUGGAAGUGCAGAUGGUGAAACAGGUGGGAGUGCAGAUGGUGAAACAGGAGGAGCAGAAGAUGAUUUGCACUUUCAGCCGAAGAAGAGACAAAAGACUUCGAAAGUUUGGUUGGAGUUCAAUGUAAUUGAUGCUGUCAAUAAAGCCGAGUGCAAGCAUUGCAAAUCUAGACUAUCGAUUUUGAAGAGCAAGAGUACUACCCACCUCUCAAGACACUUGGCUUGUUGUUUGAAGCGAAAGCUAAAUCAGAAGCAACAACAGAAGAUUUCAUUGGAGCCUAUCAAUGAAAAUAGUGUUUCCAUGGCUUCCAUUGCUCUCACAGAUGGCAAAUUUGACAUGAGAAAAAUGAGGGAGGCAAUUGCUCAUUGGAUACUUAUGCACGAGCAUCCAUUUACAAUUGUUGAAGAAGAAGGAUUUAAUAUGAUGCAGAAACGUGCAGCAUUGGAUAGGGAAAAGGUAUCACGCAAUACAAUCAAGAAAGAUUGUAACUCAAGUGUAUGAUAUUGAGAGGAAGAAGCUGAUGGCACAACUAAAGAACAUCAACAAGAUUAGUGUGACUACCGAUUUGUGGAGAUCAACGAAUCAGAAGAUCGAAUACAUGGUACUUACUGGACAUUUUGUUGACUCUUGCUGGAAAUUGCAAAAAAGAGUUCUUAGUUUUGUUCAUCUACCACCUCCUCAUCGUGGUGUUGAGAUAGCGGAUAAUCUUUACAAGUGUAUGAAAGAUUGGGGUAUUGAAAAUAAAGUGUUCACCAUUUCAGUCGACAAUGCUUCAAACAACGAUGUGGCAAUUCGCAUAUUGGCUGACACUUUCUCAAGAAACAAGAAGUUGUUAUGUGGAGGUAAACUGUUCCAUGUGCGGUGUUGUGCACACAUCCUGAACCUUAUGGUUCAGGAGGGACUUUCAAGGAUUGCUUACAUUAUUGAAGACAUACAUGAAAGUGUGCUCUUCAUCAAUUACAAUGAGGCAAGACUUCGAGCAUUCUCUGAAAUUGUGCAGCAGUUACAACUACCACAUCGGAAGCUUGUUCUCGAGUGCAAAACAAGAUGGAAUUCCACAUAUGAAAUGCUGUCAUCUGCCAUCUUGUUCAAAGAGGUGUUCCCAAGAUAUCAAGAUAGAGAGCCACGAUAUACUUGUUGUCCAAGCAAUGAAGACUGGGUGAUGGUUGAAAAGGUGUGUACCAUAUUAGAAGUAUUUGAUUCAGCCACUCGUAUCAUAUCUGGGAGUGAGNAUCUAUUUGUAAUAUAUAUAACGGUAUUAGUGAACCGUUAAGCCAUACGUUAUCUAUGAGCGUCUAGUUUAUGACGGUUGUUUAUGCGUUAAGACAAACGUUAUAUAUGAGCGUCAUUUAUCACGGUUGUUUCAAUUGUUAUGACAACUGUUAUGUAUGAAUAUAUUUCUUUUCAUUUUUUAUUUAUCAAGUUAUGUUUUAAAAAUUUUAUAUAUCUAUUUAAAAAAAAAAAUUCGACCUAAAAAUUAAAAAAAUUAUUUUUAAUUAGUAUUUAAUUAAAUGAUUUUAAUUAUUAAAAAUAAAUUGAAAAUAAAAUAAUUUAAAAAACACUACGCCUGAUAAAAUACAAUUACAAUUAGAAAAAUAUAAAAAUCCAAGAAGACAAAAAUAUUUAACUCCAAUUUCCUCCCACCCUCAAAACCCUAGCCGUUCUCUCUUCCCCUCAAACUCGUCGUCUCUCUCGCACUCUCUCUCUCUCCCUCACAAUCGCACACCGUCCAUUCCUCACAGCCGCCGUCCUCCUCCGCCCGUCCUCCACGGCGAGCCGCGGUCUCUAGUUGAGGAGAUUUCCAGAGGUUAGCAACGACGAAGGAGCCUGAGGCGAGCCGUGGCCCUCAAUUCCGGCCAUCUGUCGUCGUACUUCCAGCCGGCCAUUCUUCACAGGAGAAUCGAGAUUUAAAGCUGUUGUUGAAAAUCCACUGCAAUAAGGUGAAAAUUUAUAACUUUAUCCUUGCCUCUAUAAAAUAGUCGAGAUUAGUGGAUAGAAAAAAUGGUGAAUUGAUUUCUAUGUUGUGUGUAUUUUCUCGAAACAAAAAGUUUACAUACUUGUUUUCAUUUCACCGAUUUCAGUAAUCACCCAGGCAAUUCUGAUUCAAAUUUUGAUUGUGAUUGCACUUUGCCAUUCUAUGGUGUCUGAUGAGGUAGUACUCUGUCAUCUCCUUCUGAAUUCAAUUAUUUUCUUUGGCUCUUUUGGCAGGCUGCAGUAGCAGAGUCUUCUUAGUUGUAAAUGAACAACAACGUUAACAUUUUUUGAUUUGCAAAAGCUACUGCACUUGAAGGCCAUAGCCAUAGAAUAUAAUAUGAAUGUUGUGCUUCAAUAAUGUUUCUUCUCUUUCGUUCCUAUAGAUUUAUGAAUAUUUGGGAUCAGUUUAAUUAAUUUCUACACUAUUUGCUCUACAAGUUCAGGCUAUGUAUUUCAAUCACUUUACUCAUUUUUGGUAUAGCUUUCUGUUUGAUAAAAAAAAGUGAAGUUGUAUAAGUUUAGUUGCGGUGAAGAAUAGAAGUUGCAUGCCAAGAAACCUACACUUAUUCUUAUUGUGGAUGUUCUUUUCCUCUAGAACUCAUGUUUCUGAAAUUAUGUCUUGCGAAUACUAAUUGACUGACAAAAUUGCUAUGUAGAGACAUAUUGUGAACUUAUUGUGAUGGUUUGUAUUAAAAAGUUAAAUAUGCUUCUCAAUCAAUAUUCACAAAACUUGCAGAAGAGUGUAAGUAAUUAAGACAAUUGUUCAUUUAUCUGGCCUUCUUUUUGAAUAAAUCUUUGGCAAUCUGAUCAUAUAUUCUUCAACAUUUGGCAGCAGGAGAUCGAGCAACAUCACAACAACCAGUGCCUUCGAGCAAAGGUUGGUAAUAAUGAUAAAGUUGGUUGCUCUCAUGUCUAAGUGUUAACUUGAGUUGUGUUGGACUACAAUCUAGACUGAAAUAGUCACCGGGAAGAUGUUUGCAUCAGUUGCACAAUAUGUGCUGGGGUUAAAUAUUAUAUCUAUGUAAUUUGAUAUUGUGUGGAUCAGGUGAUACAGUUUGACAUUUUUGCAUUUGACUUCUAAAUAAUUAGAUUGGCAGUGUUUGUUAUAUAUAGACAACACUGAGCAAUAAACUAAUAUGAUUGGAGGAGGCUAGAUGGAUGAGUUAUCUGUGGGUUUUCAGUGCUUGGGCCUAAAUAACUGAUGGUUGUUUAUAUAUAGAUGCUUACAAUCAUGUGAAAUAUAAUCCACAAGGAUAUAUAUAUAUAUAUAUAUAUAUAUAUAUAUAUAUAUAUNUAAAUCAAUUAAUUGCUAUUUCAAUAAUUGAAAAUUCGAAUGUUUUCAGCUUAUAUUUUUAUUAUAUAUUAUAUUUUAAUAUACUACUUUAGUAGUAUAUAUAUAUAUAUAUAUAUAUAUAUAUAUAUAUAUAUAUAUAUAUAGGGGUUGAGUUCAACAGAGAAUUAUCUUUUUAUUCAUCAUGAACAAAUCUAUAUAUUUUACGAACAGAUCAACAUAACUGACGAAUAGACGUAUUUAGUAAAAAUAUAGAAAAACUCGCCACCAGCAGGAUUCGAACCCGGGGCAAAUUGUUGUUCAUGCGGUACAUUGAUCUGUUCAUUAAAAUUAUAGAUCUGUUCGUUUUUAUUUUACGAAUUCUCUAUUCUCCACAAUAUUUAGCUUCUCUGUUGAACCCUUUCUCUCUAUAUAUAUAUAUAUAUAUAUGUGUGUGUGUGUGUGUGUGUGUGUGUGUAGUUCAUUCUUUCUUUAAAAAAAAUUGCAUUGACGUUUUUCAUGCUCUUAGAUUUUGUUCCUGGGAAGGUGAAGGCUGAGGAAGCUUUACCACAAGUAGCAGAGGCUGAGAAAUAAUAAGGAUUGAUUAUACAUUUGCUGAGUGGCUUGAAGAAUUUCAAAAGAUCACAUUGUGAUUAUAUAUUUUUUUGUUAUUUUUGUUCUAUUUUGACUCUAGAUAGAACUAUUGUACUUUACAUUUUUUAUUAUCUUCGGAUGAUAAUUUUAGUACAAUAAUUAAUUGUUUAUAUAAUGUAUAUUUUGGAUUGUCCUAUUUGUAGUAUUUGAUGAUAUUGUAUAAUUUGUAUUUAGAAAAUUAUAAAAACAGGAAAAAAAAUUAUGCUUGAAUUGUGCAUUUGAAAAUACAUAACGAAAAUGACCGUUAUGUAAAUACAAAAAAAAAACGUUAUGUUUAACGACAAUAAAAUAUAUAAAAAUAAAUCUUAUAAUUGAAAAAAUAAGUUUUAUAACGGUAUAAAGCUGUUAUGUUUGCUAUCAUACGAAAACGGUAAUUAAUCGUUAUGUAAAAUAUAAAAAAUCGUUAUGUAUAGUUACAAUACAUAACGGAAAAAAUACAUUUUAUAACAGAUUUUACCGUUAUUUAUUACAUUCAUACACAACGGUAUUCCAUGUGUUAUGUAUCCUCAUAGUACCGUUAUGUAUAUAUAGUAUAGAUAACGGUAUAUUACCGUUAUGUAUGAGCGCCCUUAUACAUAACACCACUAUAUACAAUGCUUUUUUUUGGUACAUAGAUAACGAAAAAUUACCCUUAUGUAUGAGCGUUUUUUUUAGUAGUGAAUUCCACAUGAAAUUUUUUCAUCUGCCAUAAAGUUUAAAGAAGUGUUUCCAAGAUACCAAGACAGAGAGUCGCGGUAUACUUGUUUUCCAAGCAAUGAAGACUGGGUGAUGAUUGAAAAGGUGUGUACCAUAUUACAAGUAUUUGAUUCAGCCACUCGUAUCAUAUCUGGGAGUGAGUAUCCAACAUCAAAUAUGUUUCUUAAUGAAGUUUAUCGAAUCAAAGUGUUGUUGGAUAAGAUGAUUCGAUAAACUUCAUGGGGAUGAAACUGAAGAACCCUUUAUUCAUGACAUGGUUGGAGCUAUAAAGAGUAAAUUUGACAAAUAUUGGAGAGAGUGCAACUUGUUGAUGGCUAUUGCUGCUAUUUUAGAUCCGAGGUGUAAGAUGACAUUGAGUAUCGUUUUUCCAAAAUUUAUUCCAAAGAAGAAGCUCGUGAAAAUAUUAAGAAAGUCAGGGAUUCAUUAUGUGAGUUGUAUGAUAAAUAUGUGGCGGACAUGUAUCAUGAUAUUUCUAGACAUAGUGAGCAAAUCAUUGACAACACCAAUCACAGGAGUGGUGGAGUUCAAGAAGCUUCGGGCUGGUCCGAGUUCAUUAAACAUGUGAAAUCUGCUCAAACUAGUAAGCCACAACAAUCAGAGUUGAGCAAUUACUUAGAAGAUGGAUGUCAUAUUUGUGAAGACAUCUCAACUCCAUUUAAUGCAUUAGAUUGGUUGAGAACGAGUGUCUUGAAGUAUCGAAUAUUAUCUAAAAUGGCUCGUAAUAUAGUAGUUAUUCUCAUCUCAGCAGAAGCUACUUUUAGCGCAAGGGGGUCGAGUUAUUGAUGCGUAUCGAGCCUCAUUGAAUGCCGAUACAGUGCCAACAUUGAUUUGUGGAGGAGAUUGGUGUCGUAGUCUUCAUGGUGUGAAGAGAAAGAACAAAGUAAGUUAUGUUCUUACUGUUUUAUGGUUUCUUAAUUUUAUUUUAACUUAAAUUGAUUAUCUUAUCUUGUAUUAUAGAGUUAGAAGAAACCUUUGGAGAUUAUG
This 6623-nucleotide long non-coding RNA is filed under the name Salvia miltiorrhiza (redroot sage). RNAcentral's name for it is "long non-coding RNA (SMIL_LNC005829)". Lineage: Eukaryota; Viridiplantae; Streptophyta; Magnoliopsida; Lamiales; Lamiaceae. The record is from RNAcentral.